Molecule: ribosomal RNA, 253 nt
Filed under: uncultured bacterium
Lineage: Bacteria
Description: partial 16S ribosomal RNA
Rfam family: Bacterial small subunit ribosomal RNA
Source: RNAcentral
UACGUAGGGGGCAAGCGUUGUCCGGAUUUAUUGGGCGUAAAGAGCUCGUAGGCGGCUUGUUGCGUCGGAUGUGAAAGCCCGGGGCUUAACUCCGGGUCUGCAUUCGAUACGGGCAGGCUAGAGUUCGGUAGGGGAGAUCGGAAUUCCAGGUGUAGCGGUGAAAUGCGUAGAUAUCUGGAGGAACACCGGUGGCGAAGGCGGCAUCCUGGACCAAUUCUGACACUGAGGAGCGAAAGCCAGGGGAGCAAACGGG